CCCUUAGAUGUUCUGGGCCGCACGCGCGCUACACUGUUCGACGCAGCGAGUCUUAACCUUGACCGAAAGGUUUGGGUAAUCUUCAGCAAAGUCGAACGUGAUGGGGAUCGAUCAUUGCAAUUAUUGAUCGUGAACGAGGAAUUCCUAGUAAGUGCAAGUCAUCAGCUUGCGCUGAUUACGUCCCUGCCCUUUGUACACACCGCCCGUCGCUGCAACUGAUUGGGUGACCUGGUGAACAUCUUGGACCGGCUUGCCCAUUUUUGGACGAGUUGGAAAAGGACGUAAAUCAGGUACAUCUAGAAAUUGCAAAAGUCGUAACA
RNAcentral lists this ribosomal RNA (320 nucleotides) under uncultured eukaryote. RNAcentral describes it as "partial 18S ribosomal RNA". It matches the Rfam family "Eukaryotic small subunit ribosomal RNA", at positions 1470 to 1796 of the family's 1831-position model. The record is from RNAcentral.